CCAUAUAUAUAAUUGUUUCACAUCACACACAUAUGCAUUUAUAUCACACGAACAAUAAACUGGACACCAAUCAUCGGCAAGUACAAAAUAUGUGUGAUAUAUAUAGCUAGUUCUUACACGUCAACAAAAGUGACACUAAAUUGUUCUACUUCUUGCAGAUUAAUAGAGAACAACCAAACAAGCACAAGUCUGAAUAACACAAGGUCUAACACGUCUCUGAUACAUAGAAAUUACACACACACACACACACAGAGAGAGAGAGAGAGAGAGAGAGAGAGAGCAGCAGUAGCAGGAUUGGGAAAGAAGGAGGAGUAGCAAGGUUUUUGGAAGAUGAGGAGCAGCAAGGGAAUUUGAGAGAAGGUGUAGCAAGAGAGAGGAGCAGCGGCAGUUCAGCAGAGAGGCUGAGAGGAGCAACAGUAGUUGUAGUUCAGAGCAGUAGCAGCGUGGAGGGUUGAGAGAGCAGAAGGAGCACACUGAGAAGAGAUAAGAAGAGCAAGAGCGGGGCAGUAGGGAGAUCAAGAGAAAGAGCAGCAAGAGAUUGAGAAAGAAGCAGCAGUAAGGGCAUGGAGAGAAAGCAGAAGCAGGGGCGUGGAGAAGAGGUGCUGGUCGCGCGGCGGAUUAGACAGGCCAUCUGGUGGCUUGUGUGAUCUGGUGCUGGUGAUGGUGGAUGGAUGGUGUAGUGAAGAUGGAGGCGCUGUAGUGUUCGGUGGUGAGGUGGCGGAGUUGGUGGUGCUGCUGGAUGGAUGGGUCACGGAGGCGCACCACCACACCGGCCUGGCCGUGGCGGCGGCCGGAGGUGGAGAAGAAAGGGAUCGGGGGAGAGAGAUGAGAUGCCAGGCCUGAUGGGGAAUGGAGGCGUGCUAGGGAUUUUGAUCCCCCAUGAUCUGAUCUGUCUUUUUUUACUUUGGCCCUCCUCCUUUCUUCUUUCUUCACAAGUAGAUCCUCUCUUCUAUAGUUGCCCCCUGGCUACUUCGUUUCUUCUCGCACAUGUCCAUUCUUCCUCCUCUUCUUCGUUCUCUUAGCCACUUAGUCCGGAUCUUGAAGAUUUAUAGUGCCUUUGCGCACAUUUCUGCAAAAUAGACCAACGACUAGUAAAUGAUACUUUAUAUGAUUUUCAUGCAAAUAUUCAAUAUUUCACAGCAAGAAUUGAUGGUCAUAUCUCAAUAAAUAAUAUAUUUCUAUGCCAAAAUUGUAUAUAUGAAAUGUGCUUAUCAAGUUCCCCCACACUUAAACUUUUGCUUGUCCUCAAGCAAAGGCAUAUGACAAGAGCAAGAAUGUGAACAGUGAGCUGACUAGAGAAUACCAAGUGAAGUAGAUGCCUAAACAGUGCAUGCUUUGGACUUAGCUAGUGAAAAUUAAUGGUUAGGAGUGCUUCAAAGCGGUAAGAUACUAGUAAGCAUGACCAUUUUAAACUUUUACAAUGAUAAAAGAGGAUCAACAAGUUUAAAUGAUGACUGCGCCAAAUGGUUCCUAAAGAGAGCAUGAUCCCGAGAACAAAAAGAACUGGAAUUAAAUCUCUUAUUUGCAGAAAUAUAACUUUGUGGUUGACCCACUUAUUGAAUUUGAAAGAAACACACAUAUUAUUUCAUUAGUCUCACCGAAGGAACAUACCACCGAUCCCGAGAACAUGGUAUACACCUGGCUCAACCAAUUUUUAUUAAUUUUUCUGUUUGUCUCCCCAAAGGAACAUACCACCGUUGCCGGGGAAUCAAAAUGAUCAAUUGUAAUAUAGCGGGGUUUUUACGCCCCAAACUACGAGUGUCGUGUUCUCCACAGGGACUAGGUGACGACGACUAUGCUCGGCUAAAGCUAGGUAGCAAGAUAUUGGGUGAUGAAAGCGGAAAAUAAAACCUAAACUAACAAGGUUAUUCCUGAAGAUCGCCGCCAAAGGAAAUGCAAAAUAAGCAAAGGGGAGGUUCAGAUUGUCUAUAUUGUCUUUUUGGUGUUUCCCUAUUACUUGAGAAAUUAAAAUGCUAACACAAAAGGAAACAACAGGACAUGAACACAUAUAUUUAUCUAACAAGCGUAUGACAGAGGGAAGAAACAAGAUAAUAGACAGGGAUGAAAAUGCUUCAUGUCACAACAUAUAUUAUAGGUGCAGAGCUAAUACAUAGACUGAAAAUUGAAUGAUCACACAACUGGCUACCACAGAGAGUAAUUUCAAUACAAAAUAAAAUCACGAAUAGUAACAUGAAUUUUUUAUAGUGAGCUAGCUGACAUGAUUUACAUCACAAAACACACAUGUAUUUAUAUAGCACAUGUACUGGAGCUAACACAUUGACAACUGAAUAAAUUUAUGCAGUAAGGAACAAACACAUAAGGGAUCCCACACAUACAGUAGCAGAAUACUAAUUAACAGAUGACAAGUAUGAACUGAACAUAUAGCAGGUUACAGGCACUUAGAUAAUCUGAAUAUUACAAAGCUUCUUACUACUCCUAUUACAGAAAAUUCAGAGAAUAUAGAGAGGGGGAAGAGAUAUAGCAGCAGAGGAGGUAAGGAGGAAGAGUAGCUGUGAGGGGAAGGGAGUAGUAGUGGCAGUUGAAAGAAGAAGCCGCAGGGCGCAGCAAUGGAGGAGCAGCAGCGGGACUUGGAGAAGAGGAGGCAGCAGCAGGAGGUCGAGGAGAAGAAGGAAGAUGCAGCAAUUUUAUGAUUCAGAAAAGAACAGUAGCAGAGGACAUGGGAAGAGGGAGCAGCAGCGGGGGCAUGGAGAGGCAGUAGGUUGAGGCGCCAGGAGAGGAGAUGUAGCAGCAAGAGAUGGAGAAGGGCAGAAGAAUCAGCAGGGUGGAGGCGCACGGAGGAAAGAGAGCUCGCGCGAGGGAUCAGACGCCUCCGCGACCUCGUGUCUGAUGGGGCGCGCGAGGUGGCGCUUGGUGCUGAGGGCGGUGGUGGCCGGAGGCGCUGGUGGGUGAUGGUGAGAUGGUGAUGCUGGUGGAUGGAUGAGUUGCGAAGGCGCACCACCACGUCGGCCUGGCCGUGGCGGCGGCCUGAGGUGGGAGAAGAAGUGGUCAGGGAGAGAGAUGUGUGCCAGGCCCGAAGGGAUCGAAGGAGAUGGCUAGGGAUUUU
This 3064-nucleotide long non-coding RNA is filed under the name Triticum aestivum (bread wheat). Its description in RNAcentral is "long non-coding RNA (TAES_LNC016630)". The record is from RNAcentral. Lineage: Eukaryota; Viridiplantae; Streptophyta; Magnoliopsida; Poales; Poaceae.